Molecule: ribosomal RNA, 301 nt
Filed under: uncultured bacterium
Lineage: Bacteria
Description: partial 16S ribosomal RNA
Rfam family: Bacterial small subunit ribosomal RNA
Source: RNAcentral
CAGUAGCCGCGGUAAUACAGAGGGUGCAAGCGUUAAUCGGAAUUACUGGGCGUAAAGCGCGCGUAGGUGGUUUGUUAAGUUGGAUGUGAAAGCCCCGGGCUCAACCUGGGAACUGCAUCCAAAACUGGCAAGCUAGAGUACGGUAGAGGGUGGUGGAAUUUCCUGUGUAGCGGUGAAAUGCGUAGAUAUAGGAAGGAACACCAGUGGCGAAGGCGACCACCUGGACUGAUACUGACACUGAGGUGCGAAAGCGUGGGGAGCAAACAGGAUUAGAUACCCGAGUAGUCCCUGUCUCUUAUAC